Molecule: ribosomal RNA, 465 nt
Filed under: uncultured bacterium
Lineage: Bacteria
Description: partial 16S ribosomal RNA
Rfam family: Bacterial small subunit ribosomal RNA
Source: RNAcentral
GACGAACGCUGGCGGCGUGCUUAACACAUGCAAGUCGUACGGUAAGGCCCUUUCGGGGGUACACGAGUGGCGAACGGGUGAGUAACACGUGAGUAACCUGCCCACAACUUUGGGAUAACGCUAGUAAACUGGUGCUAAUACUGGAUAUGUUCUCCUGCUGCAUGGUGGGGGUUGGAAAGCUCCGGCGGUUGUGGAUGGACUCGCGGCCUAUCAGCUUGUUGGUGGGGUAGUGGCCUACCAAGGCGGCGACGGGUAGCCGGCCUGAGAGGGUGACCGGCCACAUUGGGACUGAGAUACGGCCCAGACUCCGACGGGAGGCAGCAGUGGGGAAUUUUGCACAAUGGGCGCAAGCCUGAUGCAGCAACGCCGCGUGCGGGAUGACGGCCUUCGGGUUGUAAACCGAUUUCAGCAGGGACGAAGCUUUUUGUGACGGUACCUGCAGAAGAAGCACCGGCUAACUACGUG